UAAAAAGAGAAUAACAAUGAACCCCCUGAAC
Molecule: non-coding RNA, 31 nt
Filed under: Rattus norvegicus (Norway rat)
Lineage: Eukaryota; Metazoa; Chordata; Mammalia; Rodentia; Muridae
Source: RNAcentral